RNAcentral lists this long non-coding RNA (1783 nucleotides) under Hordeum vulgare. Its description in RNAcentral is "long non-coding RNA (HVUL_LNC007248)". Lineage: Eukaryota; Viridiplantae; Streptophyta; Magnoliopsida; Poales; Poaceae. The record is from RNAcentral.
UUUCUCAUUUGCUAAUAAUAUUUGUGUAUAUGAUGCCAAAUGUCUACCUGCUGAAAGCAACAUGGGGCAAUAUGGUGAGUGGAAUUAUGUGAUGCAUGUAGAAAAUAGAAUACGAGCAGACAACAGGUUAUUUGCAUGUAAAAUAAAUCCUAUAAAACUAUUAUUUCUAGGAUUUUAGCACCCUGCCGUACAGAAGCAACAUUCCGUGUAUUUUUUGCUUCCCUUGCUCUAAACAUCGUUACUCCCUUCAAGGCCGAAGCGCGGUCCAUUAAGACCAUGUUUUCCUUUGUUUUAAUAUUUUGUUGUUACUAUUAUUACUAUGUCAUAUGAUCUUUGACAGCAUUUCCCUGUGGACUCACGUAUUCACCAUAUGACAUCAUGUAUUGUUUUCCUUUGCUUAUUUAUAACAUAUGCUUGUCUUUAUUAUUUUCAUGUGUUCGGCCAUCUUAUAGUUUUCCUUUGCUUAUUUAUAAUGUAUGCUUGUUGUAUGUGCUUUCGCUCGCAAUUUAUUAGAGCAUAUGCUUGUUUCUGUAGCGUUUUAUCCAUGUCUAAUUAAAUCUUGAUCCUGUAGUACUUGCUGUUUGAGAAAUAGACAUUGAGGAUCACUUUUACAUAUAUUUUAUAAACCCUGUUGGGAUGCUUUCAGGAGAUACUGAACAUAAUUCCUGACCCGUGACAACAGUUUUUUUGCCUUAACUCCAUCUCAGAGAUCUACCUUCUAUCAACAGGUAUCUAUCAAUCCCUUCUACUUGCAAGACAGAAAUAAUAUAUGUAGUUCAAAUGGUGAAAUCCAUAUAAGUUUUAAGAUUAUGUCCUGUUAAUUGUUCCAUUUGCUAAAGAGAGGAUAACUUAAAACUACUAUGGAGCUGAUGUAAAUUUAGUUGGCCACAAUGGAUCAUAAGUUUAUUCCUUACUACAUAUAUAGGCCAGUUAAUCUUAAUUUAGUGCAAGCUAAUAUACUCUAUAGAUUGGAGUGCUGAUGAGUCACCCAAAAGGUGUUUGCAUUCAUGCAGUAACUUUCAAACUGAUACCUACAUUAUAUUGUAUCUUUUUAUUUUKGAAUGUGUGCACAUGAAUUUUAGAUGGAAAUUUAUCGUCAUGGGCUGGGAAGAUAAUGGAGACUUCUACACAUGUUCCUUCGUUCCUCCAGAGAAAUAAAGAAGAUAUGGAAGCUGGGGCUUCAAUUGUAUCACCCACACUUAGUAUACUCACAUGGAUAUAGUUAUAAGUCAAAUCACAUACACAUAUUGUGCUCAUUUCACAAUGUAAUGUAGGACUAGUUAACUGUUAGUCAUUGUAACAUGUUUGACUGAGAUAAAGCUUCAUUGCACCUUUCAUUCUCCUUAUGUGCUCAUUUUAGUAAUAGUUACUAGGUUCUAGGGCUAGAGUUGUAACUAGAUGAAGCUUCAUUGUAACUAGAUUUGUAGUGGAGUUGAAGGCCGAACUAUUUUAUGUGGUGCAUGUUUGUAAAGUUUCUACAAUGAUGCUUAUUGCUUAAAUGACCGGGACUAUUUAACAUAAUGUUUUUUCGUCGGAAUUAUCUACGAUGCCUAGUGUAUGAAAACUGUGCAAAAAUAAGGCCUAGUCCUAGAUAAAAAUAGUAAUGGGCUGAAAUAUUAAAUAUUGAUCUGAAUUCUUGGGCCUGGCCCAUUUAGGUGUCUGAUUUGGAUUGGGCUAGUAAAAUUGUGACCUUAUUUUUCAGUCAGUGGUGAUCCGCCACAUCAUCAGCUUAGCCACAUGGCUGAUGCCAUGUUAGCUCCUACGUGGUUCAGGUACACAUGUA